UACAGAGGGUGCUAGCGUUGUUCGGAAUCAUUGGGCGUAAAGGGCGUGUAGGCGGUUUGUUAAGUCAUGUGUGAAAUCCCUCGGCUCAACCGGGGAACGACGCAUGAAACUGGCAAGCUAGAGUACCAAAGAGGGGGGUGGAAUUCCCGGUGUAGCGGUGAAAUGCGCAGAUAUCGGGAAGAACACCCGUGGCGAAGGCGGCUCUCUGGGACGGUACUGACGCUGAGACGCGAAAGCGUGGGGAGCGAACAGG
This 253-nucleotide ribosomal RNA is filed under the name uncultured bacterium. RNAcentral describes it as "partial 16S ribosomal RNA". It matches the Rfam family "Bacterial small subunit ribosomal RNA", at positions 524 to 776 of the family's 1533-position model. The record is from RNAcentral.